GAUGAACGCUGGCGGCGUGCCUAAUACAUGCAAGUCGAGCGAACAGACGAGGAGCUUGCUCCUCUGACGUUAGCGGCGGACGGGUGAGUAACACGUGGAUAACCUACCUAUAAGACUGGGAUAACUUCGGGAAACCGGAGCUAAUACCGGAUAAUAUAUUGAACCGCAUGGUUCAAUAGUGAAAGACGGUUUUGCUGUCACUUAUAGAUGGAUCCGCGCCGCAUUAGCUAGUUGGUAAGGUAACGGCUUACCAAGGCGACGAUGCGUAGCCGACCUGAGAGGGUGAUCGGCCACACUGGAACUGAGACACGGUCCAGACUCCUACGGGAGGCAGCAGUAGGGAAUCUUCCGCAAUGGGCGAAAGCCUAACGGAGCAACGCCGCGUGAGUGAUGAAGGUCCUCGGAUCGUAAAACUCUGUUAUUAGGGAAGAACAAAUGUGUAAGUAACUAUGCACGUCUUGACGGUACCUAAUCAGAAAGCCACGGCUAACUACGUG
This 497-nucleotide ribosomal RNA is filed under the name uncultured bacterium. Its description in RNAcentral is "partial 16S ribosomal RNA". It matches the Rfam family "Bacterial small subunit ribosomal RNA", at positions 28 to 507 of the family's 1533-position model. The record is from RNAcentral.